Non-coding RNA from Cherax quadricarinatus, 544 nucleotides. The record is from RefSeq and is a predicted model, not a curated record. NCBI's taxonomy places the organism in Eukaryota, Metazoa, Arthropoda, Malacostraca, Decapoda, Parastacidae.
AUAAAAUUGACAGAACACCUGGUGGACUGGAAGAAUGCUGUAACAUUAACAUCUAACAAAUCCAUCGUCGAAUGCAACAAUUUUGAGUCUCGUCUCAUCAAAGCAUGAAUUGCAGUGUACCACUUAUAUGGGCCCAGGUGGCUACGCACAAUAAGUGUCAUCUUGUUUCUAAAUAAACAAGACCUGCUGGCAGAAAAGAUCCGUGCAGGCAAGAGUAAGCUGGAAGAAUAUUUCCCCGAUUUUUCCCGUUACCAGACCCCAUUAGAUGCCAGUGUUGAACCUGGGGAAGAUCCAGAAGUGGUACGCGCAAAGUACUUCAUCAGGGACGAAUUUCUAAGGAUAAGUACAGCCAGUGGGGAUGGAAAACAUUAUUGCUACCCUCACUUCACAGCGCCGUGGACACUGAAAACAUCCGCCGAGUGUUCAACGACUGCAGGGACAUAAUACAAAGGAUGCAUCUCAGACAAUAUGAACUUUUUGUGAUGGCCAGUAGGUGUGGGUACUGUGGGCGGCAACAGUAUCGCUCCGUGCGAGCGACCGAGGC